UAGGGAAUCUUCCGCAAUGGGCGAAAGCUUGACGGAGCAACGCCGCGUGAGUGAUGAAGGUCUUCGGAUCGUAAAACUCUGUUAUUAGGGAAGAACAAAUGUGUAAGUAACUAUGCACGUCUUGACGGUACCUAAUCAGAAAGCCACGGCUAACUACGUGCCAGCAGCCGCGGUAAUACGUAGGUGGCAAGCGUUAUCCGGAAUUAUUGGGCGUAAAGCGCGCGUAGGCGGUUUUUUAAGUCUGAUGUGAAAGCCCCCGGCUCAACCGGGGAGGGUCAUUGGAAACUGGUUGACUUGAGUGCAGAAGAGGAGAGUGGAAUUCCAUGUGUAGCGGUGAAAUGCGUAGAUAUAUGGAGGAACACCAGUGGCGAAGGCGACUCUCUGGUCUGUAACUGACGCUGAGGCUCGAAAGCGUGGGUAGCAAACAGG
RNAcentral lists this ribosomal RNA (429 nucleotides) under Bacteroidota bacterium. RNAcentral describes it as "Bacteroidetes bacterium partial 16S ribosomal RNA". It matches the Rfam family "Bacterial small subunit ribosomal RNA", at positions 355 to 776 of the family's 1533-position model. The record is from RNAcentral. Lineage: Bacteria; Pseudomonadati; Bacteroidota.